RNAcentral lists this ribosomal RNA (808 nucleotides) under uncultured Paenibacillaceae bacterium. Its description in RNAcentral is "bacterial SSU rRNA". It matches the Rfam family "Bacterial small subunit ribosomal RNA", at positions 1 to 805 of the family's 1533-position model. Lineage: Bacteria; Bacillati; Bacillota; Bacilli; Caryophanales; Paenibacillaceae. The record is from RNAcentral.
UAGAGUUUGAUCCUGGCUCAGGACGAACGCUGGCGGCGUGCCUAAUACAUUCAAGUCGAGCGGAUUUAUCCUUCGGGAUAAGUUAGCGGCGGACGGGUGAGUAACACGUAGGCAACCUGCCUAUAAGACUGGGAUAACUAUCGGAAACGAUAGCUAAGACCGGAUAACUGAUUUUCUCGCAUGAGAAAAUUAUGAAACACGGAGCAAUCUGUGGCUUAUAGAUGGGCCUGCGGCGCAUUAGCUAGUUGGUAGGGUAACGGCCUACCAAGGCGACGAUGCGUAGCCGACCUGAGAGGGUGAACGGCCACACUGGGACUGAGACACGGCCCAGACUCCUACGGGAGGCAGCAGUAGGGAAUCUUCCGCAAUGGACGCAAGUCUGACGGAGCAACGCCGCGUGAGUGAUGAAGGUUUUCGGAUCGUAAAGCUCUGUUGCCCUAGACGAACAGCAAGAGGAGUAACUGCCUUUUGUGUGACGGUAUAGGAGAAGAAAGCCCCGGCUAACUACGUGCCAGCAGCCGCGGUAAUACGUAGGGGGCAAGCGUUGUCCGGAAUUAUUGGGCGUAAAGCGCGCGCAGGCGGUCAAUUAAGUUGGGUGUUUAAGCCCGGGGCUCAACCCCGGUUCGCAUCCAAAACUGGUCGACUUGAGUGUAGGAGAGGAAAGUGGAAUUCCACGUGUAGCGGUGAAAUGCGUAGAGAUGUGGAGGAACACCAGUGGCGAAGGCGACUUUCUGGCCUAUAACUGACGCUGAGGCGCGAAAGCGUGGGGAGCAAACAGGAUUAGAUACCCUGGUAGUCCACGCCGUAA